This 460-nucleotide ribosomal RNA is filed under the name uncultured bacterium. RNAcentral's name for it is "partial 16S ribosomal RNA". It matches the Rfam family "Bacterial small subunit ribosomal RNA", at positions 338 to 795 of the family's 1533-position model. The record is from RNAcentral.
CCUACGGGUGGCAGCAGUGGGGAAUCUUGCUCAAUGGACGAAAGUCUGACGCAGCAACGUCGCGUGAACGAUGACUGCCCUAUGGGUUGUAAACUUCUUUUAUAUGGGAGUAAAAUGGUCCGCGUGUGGGUUUUUGUAUGUACCAUAUUAAUCAAGAUCGUCUAACUCGGUGCCAGCCGCCGCGGUCAGACGGAGGAUCGGAGCGUUCUCCGGAUUUAUUUGGUUUAAAGGGAGCGUAGGUGGAUUGUUAAGUCAGUUGUGAAAGUUAGCGGCUCAACCGGGAGAGUGCAGUUGAAACUGGGAGUCUUGAGGACAGGAGAGGAGGGCGGAAUUCGUGGUGUAGCGGUGAAAUGCGUAGAUAUCACGAGGAACUCCAGUGGCGAAGGCGACUCACUGGACUGUAACUGACACUGAGGCUCGAAAGCGUGGGUAGCAAACAGGAUUAGAUACCCCAGUAGUC